This 474-nucleotide ribosomal RNA is filed under the name uncultured bacterium. Its description in RNAcentral is "bacterial SSU rRNA". It matches the Rfam family "Bacterial small subunit ribosomal RNA", at positions 29 to 518 of the family's 1533-position model. The record is from RNAcentral.
ACGAACGCUGGCGGCGUGCCUAACACAUGCAAGUCGAGCGAGAUGAUCCCUUCGGGGAUGAACCUAGCGGCGGACGGGUGAGUAACACGUGGGCAACCUGCCUUAUAGAGGGGAAUAGCCUCCCGAAAGGGAGAUUAAUACCGCAUAACAUUGAAGUUUCGCAUGAAGCUUCAAUCAAAGGAGUAAUCCGCUAUAAGAUGGGCCCGCGGCGCAUUAGCUAGUUGGUGAGGUAACGGCUCACCAAGGCGACGAUGCGUAGCCGACCUGAGAGGGUGAUCGGCCACAUUGGGACUGAGACACGGCCCAGACUCCUACGGGAGGCAGCAGUGGGGAAUAUUGCACAAUGGGGGAAACCCUGAUGCAAGCAACGCCGCGUGAGUGAUGAAGGUUUUCGGAUCGUAAAGCUCUGUCUUCAGGGACGAUAAUGACGGUACCUGAGGAGGAAGCCACGGCUAACUACGUGCCAGCAGCAGC